UGGGUAACCUGCCUCAAAGAGGGGAAUAGCCUCCCGAAAGGGAGAUUAAUACCGCAUAAUAUGUUUAGGUCGCAUGACUUUAACAUCAAAGGAUUUUCUUUUAAGAAAUUCCACUUUGAGAUGGACCCGCGGCGCAUUAGCUAGUUGGUGAGGUAACGGCUCACCAAGGCAACGACGGGUAGCUGGUCUGAGAGGAUGGCCAGCCACAUUGGGACUGAGACACGGCCCAGACUCCGUAGGG
RNAcentral lists this ribosomal RNA (241 nucleotides) under uncultured bacterium. RNAcentral describes it as "partial 16S ribosomal RNA". It matches the Rfam family "Bacterial small subunit ribosomal RNA", at positions 118 to 345 of the family's 1533-position model. The record is from RNAcentral.